Molecule: long non-coding RNA, 998 nt
Organism: Dreissena polymorpha
Lineage: Eukaryota; Metazoa; Mollusca; Bivalvia; Myida; Dreissenidae
Exons: 3
Source: RefSeq, a predicted model, not a curated record
AAUUUGCAGGUUAAACUUGUUGUUAAAAUGAAGUUAAUGUAAUGUUCACAAACAGUAGAGUUAAUGAGUUUUUCCAUUAACAAGAAUUUCUUAAAAUAAUAAUGUAUGGAUAUCAUUUGGAAAGUGACAUGAAAUGUUGUUAAAAAGUGAUGCAUACAAGUGUUUCAGAAGUCUGUCUAGGAAUAGAACAACAACUGAAGCUGACCAGUUGAUGGAAGAUACUGCAGAGUUUGGCAGGGAAAUAACCCAAGACAGCAAAGCGGCUCUUUUGGCGCAUUUACCAAGAGGACUAACGUGGCCACAAAUUCAUGAGAUCAUGCAGGAGCCGUACAGUAUAACAGCAGUACAAGUUCUAUAAAAGAUCCACGACCUACUGAAGCCCAGCUAAUUAACAAAAAAGUUUUUAAAAACUGUAAUUUUAUCCCACCUGGGUACUUAUAAUUUACUAAGCUGCCUUCACAAGUUUUAGACUUGCAAUUAUAUUUUAAACUGUCACUUGGAAAGUAAUACAUGUACAUGCAUUGUGUUCUGAAUUUCUUUGAACAAUAAAAUUAUAUAAAAGUAUUUUAAUGAAAUUGAGCACCUAAAUUGCAUUAAAGUGAAAGUAGCUGAGAAAAAUAGUAUCCUUGUGCUCAUGGGCAUCUACAUAUAUUGUGACAAACAUGAAGUAGCUAAAAUAACUUAAAUUUUUCAUUUUGUUUCUUGUAUAUCGUUUGUACAGGGUUCGUGAAUUGUUACUGUAUAUUACUUGACUUGCUUGUAUUUUGUUACUUUGAAUACAUGUUGUUAAGGUUGCAUUAUACUUUUUAACCUUUAAAGUAGCGCCUGUUCUGUUAUGUAAGGGCCUGAUUUAUGAUAAUGGACCUAGAGGCUUUGUAAGCAUGUAUUAAACAACACUUGUUUGAUCUGAAUAAUUUGUUAAAUAAAUGUAACACAAUUUGUAAUCUGAUGUUAUAUUUUGAUGAAUUGUGAACAAAAUAAUACAUCGAAGAAACUAA